Molecule: ribosomal RNA, 454 nt
Filed under: uncultured bacterium
Lineage: Bacteria
Description: bacterial SSU rRNA
Rfam family: Bacterial small subunit ribosomal RNA
Source: RNAcentral
UACGGGAGGCAGCAGUGGGGAAUAUUGCACAAUGGGCGAAAGCCUGAUGCAGCUAUGCCGCGUGUAUGAAGAAGGCCUUAGGGUUGUAAAGUACUUUCAUCGGGGAGGAAAAACAAAACUAAUAAUUUUAUUUCUUGACGUUACCCGAAAAAGAAGCACCGGCUAACUCCGUGCCAGCAGCCGCGGUAAUACGGAGGGUGCUAGCGUUAAUCAGAAUUACUGGGCGUAAAGAGCACGUAGGUGGUUUUUUUAAGUCAGAUGUGAAAUCCCUGGGCUUAACCUGGAAACUGCAUUUUGAAACUGAGAUACUGAAGUAUCGUAGAGGGAGGUAGAAUUCUAGGUGUAGCGGUGAAAUGCGUGAUAUCUGGAGGAAUACCUGUGGCGAAAGCGGCCUCCUAAACGAAUACUGACACUGAGGUGCGAAAGCGUGGGGAGCAAACAGGGAUUAGAUACC